RNAcentral lists this ribosomal RNA (1222 nucleotides) under metagenome. RNAcentral describes it as "bacterial SSU rRNA". It matches the Rfam family "Bacterial small subunit ribosomal RNA", at positions 281 to 1498 of the family's 1533-position model. The record is from RNAcentral.
GGGUAGCGGGACUGAGAGGUUGGCCCGCCACAUCGGAACUGAGACACUGUCCGGACCCCCACGGGGGGCUGCAGUAACGAAUCUUGGGCAAUGGGCGAAAGCCUGACCCAGCGACGCCGCGUGCGGGAGGAAGUCCUUCGGGAUGUAAACCGCUGUCAGGGACGUGAAAGUCCACUUCGGUGGAUUGAUCUAACCCAGAGGAAGUCACGGCUAACUCUGUGCCAGCAGCCGCGGUAAGACAGAGGUGGCUAGCGUUGUUCGGUAUCACUGGGCUUAAAGCGUGUGUAGGCGGAAGCGUAAGCAUUUUGUGAAAUCCCCCGGCUCAACCGGGGCAUUGCUUGAUGUACUGCGUUUCUUGAGGCAAGUAGGGGUGCGAGGAACUCUUGGUGGAGCGGUGGAAUGCGUAGAUAUCAAGAGGAACGCCGAUGGUGAAGACAUUGCACUAGGCUUGUCCUGACGCUGAGACACGAAAGCGUGGGGAGCGAACGGGAUUAGAUACCCCGGUAGUCCACGCCGUAAACGAUGCUUACUAGGUUGUGGCGGUUCUGACGCCGGCACAGCCGAAGCCAAAGUGUUAAGUAAGCCGCCUGGGGAGUACGGUCGCAAGGCUAAAACUCAAAGGAAUUGACGGGGGCUCACACAAGCGGUGGAGCAUGUGGAUUAAUUCGAAUCAACGCGCAGAACCUUACCUGGGUUUGACAUGCUUGGAUGCCUUUCUGGAAACAGAGUAGGUUACCCUUCGGGGUGAAACUUGCACAGGUGCUGCAUGGCUGUCGUCAGCUCGUGUCGUGAGAUGUCGGGUUAAGUCCCUUAACGAGCGAAACCCUUACCGUUAGUUGCCAGCGGGUCAUGCCGGGGACUCUAACGGGACUGCCGGUGUUAAACCGGAGGAAGGUGGGGAUGACGUCAAGUCAUCAUGGCCUUUAUGCCCAGGGCCUCACACGUGCUACAAUGGCCGGUACAAAGCGACGCGAGACCGCAAGGUGGAGCCAAUCGCAAAAAACCGGCCCCAGUUCGGAUUGUAGGCUGGCAACUCGCCUGCAUGAAGUUGGAAUCGCUAGUAAUCGCGAAUCAGCUAUGUCGCGGUGAAUGUGUUCCUGAGCCUUGUACACACCGCCCGUCAAGUGAUGGGAGUUGGAAGUACCCGAAGUCGGGUUGUUAACCGCAAGGAGACGCCUGCCGACGGUAAGUCCGACGACUGGCACUAAGUCGUAACAAGGUA